This 253-nucleotide ribosomal RNA is filed under the name uncultured bacterium. RNAcentral describes it as "partial 16S ribosomal RNA". It matches the Rfam family "Bacterial small subunit ribosomal RNA", at positions 524 to 776 of the family's 1533-position model. The record is from RNAcentral.
UACGGAGGGUGCGAGCGUUGUCCGGAAUCAUUGGGCGUAAAGGGCGCGUAGGUGGCUUCUUAAGCGUGCGGUGAAAGCCUGGGGCUCAACCCCGGGUCGGCCGUGCGAACUGGGGGGCUGGAGCACUGUAGAGGCAGGCGGAAUUCCGGGUGUAGCGGUGGAAUGCGUAGAGAUCCGGAAGAACACCGGUGGCGAAGGCGGCUCUCUGGACCGCAACUGACGCUGAGGCGCGAAAGCUAGGGGAGCAAACAGG